CGGAGCUAAACAGAAGCUUAGCUGACUGAUAACAGCAGUCUGUCUGCAAGAGAAGCAGAACAGUAUGGGCCACGUGGCGCCUGAUGCCACAGAGAACCUGAAUGAUCAGACGAUCCCAACUUUGCACCCUGGGUCUUAUAGGUGGAUUAUUUACACUUUGUUUGGACUUGACAUUAGCAUUUACUGCAUGUAGAAAACCAUGAAUAUGAAGUUAGCUCAAAGGAGUGCACGCAUGCCUUUAGCAAUCAAAGCAGAGACACAAAGGCUAUAAUCACAUUCCAUGUGGUUACAAAGCCGCUGCUGCGGCGGCAGAGAUAUUAGCAUUCACUACACUAACUUGGAUUUUGUUUGGUCUUCAUCCUGUGGGCAAAAAAAGGAGGUAAAUGGAGAAGACAUGAAAUGAAAAAGGAUUAGGAACAAACCAGUUUGUGGGGAAACUGGCAGAAUGUGCAGGUCAAGGCACAAACAUGCACAUGCAACAAAGAAUACACUUGGACAGUGACAUUUUAGAUUAAGGAAAUAUCACAGAACCAUCUACUCUCAUGGAAGCAACGUUGAGAGCAGUGGUUCCCAACCUUUUGCCUUGGAGAACAUUUGUAUUUAUGAAAGGCUGCUUUGGGCCUGCCCUUCUUAUAAUUCCUGACCAAUGUUCUGUGUGGAAAAAUAAAAACCCUACAGAGGUUAUCAGCGUCAAUGAAGCUGUUUUACUGGUUGCUAGACACACAGUUUGACAUUGUGUAAUUAUGAUACGUGAGCUUGUAAGGUGGAACCGUCAGAAAAACAUGACGCCAUUUGACGCAUAUGAUUGUGAUGGAUUGGAAAAUUUGGAACAGAUUCUCAAAUGGAACAGGUUCUGGAUUCCCAUCACUACCCCAGCCCAUGCAAAUGCACACACACAGUAAAAUAAUAAUAAUAAUGUGAUUCACUCGAUGUUUUUGGCAAAAAUUAACUAACACAUAAUUUUAUGGGGGUUUUUUCCCCUCUUUUCUCUUGGGUUCAUCCAAAGAAAACAAAUGAUCUUUUCAUUACUACUGAUUAUGUAAUAAGUGAGUUACUCUAACUUUACAUAAUGUGCACUUGUAAUUUUGCAGCCUGACAGCAGACAAAACAUCACAACCCCUCUGUGACCUUUGGUAACUGUGCUGGCCAAUAGAUUCCUGAGUUCAAUUUGUAGCAGACAAGAAAAUCACUAAGGUCCCUUGGGCAAGAUCCUUAUCUCAAAGUUAUUCCCGGUGUGUAGUAGAGCGCUUUGUGUGGCAACACUCUGACAUAAUUGUGUGUGCGCAUGUGAAGCAUCGUUGUAAAGCGCUUUGAGCAUCUGUAUCAGAUGAAAAACCAGCAUAAAAAUGAAGUCCAAAAUACUACCCAAAUAUUAACAAUAAACAAAAGCUUUGAAAUAUCUCAAAUUUAGUGUGACAAUGCACCUGACAGUAUAUUACAGUCCAUUUUGAACUGUGGUAUUUGUUAAUUACAUUUAUAGAAAUCACAGACCAGUUUAAUUUGCAUAUUCACAAGUGCACAAGACCACUAGGCAUGUCUGCUUAAAGCCAAUAAAAACACGAGUAGCAAAUUAUUUAAAUCCCGCUGAGUAUCGUUUCUCAACUAGUGGGCCAAACCCCAUUAAUAAAAGGUCAGUCCAGCAUAAUUUAUCUCCAUUUUUGUUCUCUAGAAUCACACUGCUGGCCUGUAUUUCACUUAAAUAGAAGCCACUGCUACACCAGUUGUGCUUUUUGGUCAAAAAGUACAUUUUGGAGUGUAGCUAUUCGGACUGGGGUUUUAAAGAUAGUCUAGCAUCAUUUAACACAUUGCCUGGAUUCUUCGACUCCACCCGUUUGCCGCGGAUCCGAUUUGGACUUCUUUCAUCAAUGCAGCUUUUGUGAAAACCUAAGUGAUGGGUUGUUUCAGUGUUACUUUUUCAAAUGAGACACAUGCCAUAUUUUGGGUUAAAAUGAAACAUGGGGUAAUGUCAGAAAGGAAGAAUGCAAUAUUUCAAUCACUAACACAUUCCUUCAGGUAGAGCGCAAGGCAAAAAAUGUCCACUAUGCUGAGGCAUGGCAAUUCAGACAGUUAAA
Long non-coding RNA from Thalassophryne amazonica, 2072 nucleotides. RefSeq lists it as uncharacterized. The record is from RefSeq and is a predicted model, not a curated record. NCBI's taxonomy places the organism in Eukaryota, Metazoa, Chordata, Actinopteri, Batrachoidiformes, Batrachoididae. The transcript is spliced from 2 exons.